RNAcentral lists this ribosomal RNA (2044 nucleotides) under Euglenozoa sp. Its description in RNAcentral is "partial small subunit ribosomal RNA". It matches the Rfam family "Eukaryotic small subunit ribosomal RNA". The record is from RNAcentral. Lineage: Eukaryota; Euglenozoa.
AACCUGGUUGAUCCUGCCAGUAGUCAUAUGCUUGCUUCAAGGAUUAAGCCAUGCAAGUGUCGAGUAAAUAUCAUACAGUUGAUCUGCGUACAGCUCAUUACACCAGUCGUAAUCUACCUGGAUGAGUGACUCUGUCAUCGAGUGGAUAACUUCAGUAACUCUGAAGCUAAUACAUGGACGAACAUUCGAAUAGCCGCUCAAGGUGAGGAGUAAAAUCCAAGCCUGGCUAUGCGAAGCUUUUGGUCGAGAAAGAAAUCAGUCAAUAAGAUUGAAGAAUUUCGUUGGUUCAGACCAUUCUGUGCAAGGAACCGAUGCUUCGGCAUCUUCCGUGUCCGGUUGAGCGACUGACCUAUCAGCUUGUUUGCAGUGUAUUGGACUGCAGAGGCAUUGACGGGUAACGGAGAAUCAGGGUUCGAUUCCGGAGAGGGAGCCUGAGAAACGGCUGCCAUGUCUAAGGACAGCAGCAGGCGCGUAAAUUGCCCAAUACUAGCAUGAGCGAGGCAGCGACGAGAAGUAUUUACCUUGUGCUCUUCAUGAACACGAGGAUAGAAAUGGGUGACAUGCAAAGCCAUCACUGAGGAUCAAUUGGAGGGCAAGUCUGGUGCCAGCAGCCGCGGUAAUUCCAGCUCCAAUAGCGUAUACUAAUGCUGUUGCUGUUAAAAAGCUCGUAGUUCGAUAAGGAUUCGAUCUGGUUCUGAUACCAGGCUACGCAACUUGUUGCUAGCUUCGGCGACGGCCUUUUGGAUUGGAUCCUCAUUGUCGGUGACGUCUGGAUGAAGUGCUCUUCAUUGAGCAUGGAAUCAACAUCGCAGCUACCAUCUGCGCAAGGACGUACCGCUGUGAUACCGUGAACAAAACAGCGUGCUCAAAGCAAGCGUUUUCGCUCGAAUGUUCAAGCAUGGCAUAUCAAGGAAGCGACCAUGCGAUCAGUCUUUGCUGGUCUUCUAUGAUCGUCUUGGAAAAAAGGAUUGGAGUAUAUCGGCAGUCGAUGCCGUUGCCUCCGGGUAGCGGUACGCGUUUUGUUGAAGCUCCCGUUCAUACGGAAUUACCAGGGGUGAACGGAGCAGUACGUAUUCGCACGCGAGAGGUGAAAUUCUUAGACCGUGCGAAGACGAACCUAAGCGAAGGCAUUCUGCAAGUGUACCUUCAUUAAUCAAGAACGAGAGUGCAGGGAUCGAAGAUGAUCAGAUACCGUCGUAGUCUGCUACUGUAAACGAUGCGAACUCGGGAUCAGCUAUCGCUUAUCUUCUGAUUACCAGGCUGGAACCACUUCUUCUCUCCUAGCGCGAAAGCUUUAAGUUUAUGCGUUCAGGGGGAGUACAGUUGCAAGGCUGAAACUUAAAGGAAUUGACGGAAUGACACCACAAGGCGUGGAUGCUGCGGCUUAAUUUGACUCAACACGGGGAACCUCACCAGGUCAGGACGCAUGUUGGAUUGACAGAUUGAAAGCUCUUUCUUGAUUAUGUGUAUGGUGGUGCAUGGCCGCUCCUGGUUGGUGGAGUGAUUUGUCUGGUUGAUUCCGUUAACGAACGAGAUCUUGGCCGUUCAAUGACAGUUUGAUCGCUAUGUAGUCCGAUACUCUUGCGCUUGCGUACAGCAGUCGUUGGAUGAGAUCUUUCCUUGUACUCAACGGGACUAUACGUGUUGACAACGUAUGGAAGUGCGAGCCAAUAGCAGGUCUGUGAUGCUCCUAGAUGUCCUGGGCUGCACGCGGCAUACAAUGGUGAAGAAAACGAGUUUGGUUUGUUUGAGCUCCUUGUGCGAAAGCAUUGGGGAAUCUGUUGAACUUUCAUCGUAUCGUGGGGAUCGUUGCUUGCAAUUAUUUGCCUUGAACCAGGAAUGCCUUGUAGGUCCAAUUCAGCAAGUUGGACCGAAUACGUCCCUGCCGUUUGUCCGUCGUUGCAAUCGAUCGGUUCAAUGCUAGAGGUCUUCUGGAGGUGACUUCUGGAUUCGUCUAGUCGUCGCUGAAGUUGAUCAAUAGCAUUGAACUAGAGAAUGCAAAAGUCGUAACAAGGUUGCUGUAGGUGAACCUGCAGAAGGAUCA